AUGACCUCACGCCUUAUAGUGACUGGGAGAAUCAUCAAUAUGAUUUUUUAUUGCGUUGCUUCAGAGUCUAGAAGUUCAUCCUUCAUAAGAGGGACGGGAAACGUCUCAACUACUAGAGGAGAAUAUAUCUGGUUUCUCGGGGUUAGAGAAGGAAGUGUUACAUCCCUCCUCUCGGUGAGGGAUUCUCCUCACGACUUUGCUAGCCAUGGAUCAUGCUCAACCUUCUCUUCAACCAUUGUUGAACCAAUAAUUCUAGAAGGUUUGAGCUUUUGA
Molecule: non-coding RNA, 273 nt
Organism: Vicia faba (fava bean)
Lineage: Eukaryota; Viridiplantae; Streptophyta; Magnoliopsida; Fabales; Fabaceae
Source: the annotation of a GenBank genome assembly